CCUACGGGUGGCUGCAGUAGGGAAUCUUUCACAAUGGGCGAAAGCCUGAUGGAGCAACGCCGCGUGCAGGAUGAAGGCCUUCGGGGUGUAAACUGCUUUUAUAAGCGAGAAAUACGAUGGUAACUUAUGAGUAAGGAUCGGCUAAAUACAUGCGAGCAGCCGCGGGCAUACGUAGGAAGCGAGCAUUAUCCGGAGUGACUGGGUGUAAAGAGUUGCGUAGGUGGGAUAAUAAGUAGCUAGUGGAAUCGGGUGGCUCAACCAUUCAGACUAUUAGCUAAACUGUUAAGCUCGAGAGCGUUGGGGGCAGGUGGAAUUUCUAGUGUAGGAGUGAAAUGCGUAGAUAUUAGAAGGAACACCAAUAGCGUAGGCAGGUUACUGGGACGGUUCUGACGCUGAGGCACGAAAGCGUAGGGAGCAAACAGGAUUAGAUACCCGGGUAGUC
This 442-nucleotide ribosomal RNA is filed under the name uncultured bacterium. RNAcentral describes it as "partial 16S ribosomal RNA". It matches the Rfam family "Bacterial small subunit ribosomal RNA", at positions 338 to 795 of the family's 1533-position model. The record is from RNAcentral.